GUGAGGAAUAUUGGUCAAUGGGCGAAAGCCUGAACCAGCCAUGUCGCGUGAAGGAUGAAGGUCCUAUGGAUUGUAAACUUCUUUUGCAGGAGGGUAAAGUGAGCUACGUGUAGUUCAUUGCAAGUACCCUGCGAAUAAGCAUCGGCUAACUCCGUGCCAGCAGCCGCGGUAAUACGGAGGAUGCGAGCGUUAUCCGGAUUUAUUGGGUUUAAAGGGUGCGUAGGCGGACUAAUUAGUCAGCGGUGAAAUUUUGCGGCUCAACCGUAAAACUGCCGUUGAAACUGUUAGUCUUGAGUGCGGUAGAGGUAGGCGGAAUGUGUGGUGUAGCGGUGAAAUGCUUAGAUAUCACACAGAACACCGAUUGCGUAGGCAGCUUACUGGAGCGCAACUGACGCUGAGGCACGAAAGCGUGGGGAUCGAACAGGAUUAGAAACCCGGGUAGUCC
RNAcentral lists this ribosomal RNA (445 nucleotides) under uncultured bacterium. RNAcentral describes it as "partial 16S ribosomal RNA". It matches the Rfam family "Bacterial small subunit ribosomal RNA", at positions 354 to 796 of the family's 1533-position model. The record is from RNAcentral.